UGAUAGGGGCAAAAAUGGCGAUGUGACACGUCAUGACAGCAUCCCCCUGAGCGACACACUGCCCGAGGCUCGCCAUACCCUGCAGUAGCUCAGCCUCCCACGCAACCCCAGUGGCAAUGUCAGGUAACAUCAAACCACCUCUAUAAAUACCCCUAAGUCCUAAGCAAAAGGGGAGAGGAACUCACUCAGACACAAAACACUCAGAGGCUCUUCUUCUGCCUCAUCCACAAUCUCCUCCACAUCUUCCUCUAACUUGAUCGUCGGAGGGGUCGGGCCGAGCUCCCGGCCCGACCUGUGUGCAGGUGCGAGACGGUGUCGCCUCAUCCCGAAGCUGCGGCGGAGCUGCCUCCCGACCCGAACCACCGACCCGAACCGCCGACCCGAACCGCCGA
This 392-nucleotide long non-coding RNA is filed under the name Musa acuminata (dwarf banana). RNAcentral's name for it is "long non-coding RNA (MACU_LNC009664)". The record is from RNAcentral. Lineage: Eukaryota; Viridiplantae; Streptophyta; Magnoliopsida; Zingiberales; Musaceae.